ACGGUGGCUCGCUGCUGAGGCCCUCGCCCGAGGGGUUUCUUCAGCGCUGAAAUUCGGGCUGGCGCGCCGCUGCGCCUGGGUGCGGCGCGUAAGACUUCACAGGCUGGCGAUGGAGUCUGCUUGUCUUCUGGUGAGCUUCAUCGUGAGAACAAUCGGAAGACUAUGCAUGUAGACGCCCGGCUAGAAACUGUUCAGGACGCGGGUUCGAUUCCCGCCGCCUCCACCA
RNAcentral lists this transfer-messenger RNA (226 nucleotides) under Planctomycetota bacterium. RNAcentral describes it as "partial transfer-messenger RNA". It matches the Rfam family "transfer-messenger RNA", at positions 132 to 374 of the family's 374-position model. From Rfam's summary of the family: Bacterial tmRNA, also known as 10Sa RNA or SsrA, is named for its dual tRNA and mRNA-like properties. Its role is to liberate the mRNA from a stalled ribosome. The record is from RNAcentral. Lineage: Bacteria; Pseudomonadati; Planctomycetota.